UUUUCCUGGAAAACAUACUGGAGAGGAGAUUCUCAGCAAAUGUUUGCUUAAUUGAGAUAGAAGGACGGCUUCCUGAAACAAGACCGUACCACCAGGUGAAAAAAAUCAACUUUGAAAAGAGAGAAACAAAGAGCAAUCUAAG
This 142-nucleotide long non-coding RNA is filed under the name Cavia porcellus (domestic guinea pig). Its description in RNAcentral is "lncRNA (ENSCPOG00000039031.1)". Lineage: Eukaryota; Metazoa; Chordata; Mammalia; Rodentia; Caviidae. The record is from RNAcentral.